GACGAACGCUGGCGGCGUGCCUAAUACAUGCAAGUAGAACGCACAGUUUAUACCGUAGCUUGCUACACCAUAGACUGUGAGUUGCGAACGGGUGAGUAACGCGUAGGUAACCUGCCUGGUAGCGGGGGAUAACUAUUGGAAACGAUUGCUAAUACCGCAUAAUAUUAAUUAUUGCAUGAUAAUUAAUUGAAAGGUGCAAUUGCACCACUACCAGAUGGACCCGCGUUGUAUUAGCUAGUAGGUGAGGUAACGGCUCACCUAGGCGACGAUACAUAGCCGACCUGAGAGGGUGAUCGGCCACACUGGGACUGAGACACGGCCCAGACUCCUACGGGAGGCAGCAGUAGGGAAUCUUCGGCAAUGGACGAAAGUCUGACCGAGCAACGCCGCGUGAGUGAAGAAGGUUUUCGGAUCGUAAAGCUCUGUUGUAAGAGAAGAACGGGUGUGGGAGUGGAAAGUUCACACUGUGACGGUAUCUUACCAGAAAGGGACGGCUAACUACGUG
RNAcentral lists this ribosomal RNA (505 nucleotides) under uncultured bacterium. Its description in RNAcentral is "partial 16S ribosomal RNA". It matches the Rfam family "Bacterial small subunit ribosomal RNA", at positions 28 to 507 of the family's 1533-position model. The record is from RNAcentral.